GAUGAACGCUGGCGGCGUGCCUAAUACAUGCAAGUCGAACGGGGAGGAGCAAUCCUUCUAGUGGCGAACGGGUGAGUAACGCGUUGGUGACCUGCCCCGGAGUGUGGGAUACCAGGCCGAAAGGCUUGCUAAUACCGCAUGUGCAAAGGAGAGAUUAGAAGCUUCUUUGCAAAGGAGUAAUCCGCUCUGGGAGGGGCCUGCGACCCAUCAGCUAGUUGGUAAGGUAACGGCCUACCAAGGCGAUGACGGGUAGGGGACCUGAGAGGGUGGCCCCCCACAAUGGAACUGAAACACGGUCCAUACACCUACGGGUGGCUG
This 318-nucleotide ribosomal RNA is filed under the name uncultured Chloroflexota bacterium. RNAcentral describes it as "bacterial SSU rRNA". It matches the Rfam family "Bacterial small subunit ribosomal RNA", at positions 28 to 351 of the family's 1533-position model. Lineage: Bacteria; Bacillati; Chloroflexota. The record is from RNAcentral.